UGCCAGACUCCUACGGGAGGCAGCAGUGAGGAAUAUUGGUCAAUGGGCGGAAGCCUGAGCCAGCCAAGUCGCGUGAGGGAAGAAGGCCCUGCGGGUCGCAGACCUCUUUGGACGGGGAGCAAGGCCGCCGACGUGUCGGCGGAAGGAGAGUACCCGUAGAACAAGCAUCGGCUAACUCCGUGCCAGCAGCCGCGGUAAUACGGAGGAUGCGAGCGUUAUCCGGAUUUACUGGGUGUAAAGGGGGCGCAGACGGGAGCGCAAGCCAGGAGCGAAAGCCCGGGGCCCAACCCCGGGGCCGCUCUUGGAACUGCGCGGCUGGAGUGCAGGAGGGGCAGGCGGAAUUCCUGGUGUAGCGGUGAAAUGCGUAGAUAUCAGGAGGAACACCGGUGGCGAAGGCGGCCUGCUGGACUGCGACUGACGUUGAGGCCCGAAAGCGUGGGGAGCAAACAGGAUUAGAUACCCUGGUAUC
RNAcentral lists this ribosomal RNA (469 nucleotides) under uncultured bacterium. Its description in RNAcentral is "partial 16S ribosomal RNA". It matches the Rfam family "Bacterial small subunit ribosomal RNA", at positions 329 to 794 of the family's 1533-position model. The record is from RNAcentral.